AGGCGAGGAUGAUUAGCACAG
Molecule: unclassified non-coding RNA, 21 nt
Filed under: Mus musculus (house mouse)
Lineage: Eukaryota; Metazoa; Chordata; Mammalia; Rodentia; Muridae
Description: oocyte_clustered_small_RNA9199
Source: RNAcentral